CCUGUCACAGAUUUUAGCCACUAGUGUUUGUUUGUUUACAAUAAUUGUGCAAGAGUACAUUAUGUACUGUUGAUUGUAGUAAGAGAAGGACAGUAGGCGAUGGAAGUGGAGGAAGAAGUGGGCUGCACGCCAUGCUCCGACAGCAAAAUCUUUGCCUCCAGGGAGGAGCUGGAAGCAUUUUUAAAGGAGCAAUUGCCACCGGAAAACUUUGUGGUCAGGAGUACGAUGAAGGGCUUCCUUGGAAGUGCCAUCGAUAUCCUCGCGGCCAAGGACCUUCGACAUGUCUGGCAGCAUCACCGAAUGUGUGUCCCUAUUGAUUUCCAUGGAGUCCCCUUCUGCGUGCUCGGCCGGCAAGAGUGUCAGUUCGGGAAGGAAAGAUGCCAUGAAGCUAAACAGCCUACGGACACAAGCGACGCAACGCGGUCACCUGCGGACCAGGCUUCCUCGAAUCCCAGCCAUGAGAAGAUAUCAAGGCGGCUCUCUCUU
Long non-coding RNA from Sycon ciliatum, 486 nucleotides. RefSeq lists it as uncharacterized. The record is from RefSeq and is a predicted model, not a curated record. The transcript has 3 exons. NCBI's taxonomy places the organism in Eukaryota, Metazoa, Porifera, Calcarea, Leucosolenida, Sycettidae.